Molecule: ribosomal RNA, 253 nt
Filed under: uncultured bacterium
Lineage: Bacteria
Description: partial 16S ribosomal RNA
Rfam family: Bacterial small subunit ribosomal RNA
Source: RNAcentral
GACGGAGGGUGCUAGCGUUGUUCGGAAUGACUGGGCGUAAAGGGCGCGUAGGCGGCUCGUGAAGUCGGGUGUGAAAGCCCUGGGCUCAACCCAGGAAGUGCACUCGAAACUGGCGGGCUAGAGUAUCGGAGAGGUUGGUGGAAUUCUCGGUGUAGAGGUGAAAUGCGUAGAUAUCAGGAGGAACACCGGUGGCGAAGGCGGCAUCCUGGACCGGUAUUGACGCUGAGGCGCGAAAGCCAGGGGAGCAAACGGG